UAGCACCAGCCCCCUUCGCUAGACGCCUACACGCUGAUCUGGGCGCGCUUUCAAAGAUGGCCGCCGAGGCUAGCGGGCACUCCAGCCAAGAUGGCCGCCGGGGAGGCCGCCCGAACCCGUAAUGGCGGCUUCAGCGACUGAGGGAGGCUGCCCACAGCCGAGAUGGCCGCGCCCGUACCAUAGAGAGGGGGCGGGCUCGCUACGCGCGGUGCUGUCUAUAGCAGAGGGAGGCCCGUGCGGGUCUCUAUGGCAGCGCUGGUAACGUUCCCGAGGCGGCCGGGCCCGUGCGCCCCAGCGGCUCCGGCCCCCGAGCGCUGACGGGGCCGCCGGGAGGAUGCCCCAGGCCGCCUACUUCUUCCUGCGGGCCGUAGGCAAGGGCAGCUACGGCGAGGUGAGCCUGGUGCGGCACCGGCAGGACAACCGACAGUAUGUCAUCAAAAAGCUAAACCUUAAACAUGCUUCCAGCCGAGAGAGGAAGGCAGCUGAGCAAGAAGCCCAGUUGUUGUCUCAGCUCAAACACCCCAACAUAGUCACCUACAGGGAGUCCUGGGAGGGGGAAGAUGGCCUGCUAUAUAUUGUUAUGGGCUUCUGUGAAGGAGGGGACCUAUAUCAUAAACUUAAAGAGCAGAAAGGCAUACUUUUGCCAGAGAAUCAGGUGGUGGAAUGGUUUGUUCAGAUUGCCAUGGCAUUGCAGUAUUUACAUGAAAAACACAUUCUGCAUAGAGAUCUCAAAACUCAAAAUGUGUUCCUGACAAGAACAAAUAUAAUUAAAGUGGGAGAUCUGGGAAUAGCCAGAGUGUUAGAAAAUCAGUAUGAUAUGGCCAGUACUCUCAUUGGCACACCUUAUUAUAUGAGUCCUGAACUGUUUUCCAACAAACCUUACAACUAUAAGUCUGAUGUUUGGGCUCUGGGCUGUUGUGUUUAUGAGAUGGCCACGUUGAAACAUGCUUUCAAUGCUAAAGACAUGAAUUCUUUAGUUUAUCGAAUUAUUGAAGGAAAGUUGCCACCAAUGCCAAAGGAUUACAGCCCACAACUUGCAGAACUAAUAAGAACUAUGCUUAACAAAAAGCCUGAAGAAAGACCGAGCGUGAAAAGCAUACUAAGGCAACCAUAUAUCAAGCACCAAAUAUCUCUGUUUUUGGAAGCCACAAAAGCAAAAACAGCCAAAAAUCAUAAGAAAAUAUCUGAUUCUACACCCAAAAAUGUUUCUGUGAUCUCAGUGAAAACUGAAUAUAACAAUGAAAAGGUCACACCCCCAAAACACCCCUCUGAACAAGCCAAGAGACAUAAAGCUAAUGAAGAAAAACAUGUAAUCAAAGAUAAAACAUUUGAAAUUCAUUCCUCAGAGAAAUCAGCAGCUGAGCUUGAAAAAAAUGCAAACAAGAAUGAGAAGAACAGCACAGGAGUUUCCAUAGCAACUAUUAGCAAAGUUGAUAUUGAUAUUUUAUUGUCUGAAAAGAGAGACUCUAAAAGUGAUCACUUACUAAAGGAUAACCAAGCAAAGCGUUUGAGCAUUCCUAGUGAUUUAGAAUCUAAAAUAACAUCUAAUGGCUCACAGACUAAGGAAGACAGACAACAGCAAAACUCAGAGCCAGCUUCUAGAACUGAAACUCUGGAUUCUAAGCAGUUUACUGUUGAUGUUGCAGGUGAAGGCGGUGAUACUUUGAAACUCCUGCAGCCUGUCUCCAACCAAAAGCAAAAUGAUGACAAGACCUUGGACUCCACUGAGAAGUUGCUAGAACCCUUUGUUCCUGUCAUAAUUCAAGAUGAAGUCUCUCAUGGAAUUCCAGAAGUAGUUCAGGAAAAAUGCACCACUUACUUACAGCCUCAUCGCUCUGUCUCUGAACCUUCUCUCUCACGGCAACGAUGGCAAAAGAAAAGGGAGCUAGAAGAAGUAUGUUUAGAGAAGAACAGACCAGUUGCUCCUCGGCCAUUACCCCUUCCUCCUGAUGUGAAUGUGAAGACAGCGUACAGCCCUGAAGAUCAGCAUGGUACUGAAGUAACUGAGUCUGUAAACAGCUCUAAAAAUAGUGAGAGAGCAGUUUCAAAGGAUCGACCCCUAUCAGCAAGAGAGAGGCGGAGAUUAAAACAAUCCCAAGAAAAGAUGUUUCCUUCUGUGCCUCCAGCAAGACGAGCAUCUCACAGUGCGGUAGCUGAAGCAAAGUCACUUGUGGAAGAUCAUAUUAAAGUUACUCAGUCCUCACCAGAUCCCAGUAUUUUUCAGAAAAAAAAAAUAAUCAGUCGUCUGUCUGAUGAUAUGAGCUCUUCCACAAGCUCCACAGAUAAGUCAGAUGGAGAUUCCAAGGAAGGAAAAAGCAAUACAAAUGAAAUGAACGAUUUGGUACAACUAAUGACUCAGACACUAAAAAUGGAUUCUAAAGAGAACUGUGAAUACCCUUCAAUUCUAACUCCUGCAUCAGAGUUCAAGCUUCAUAGGAAAUACAGAGAUACUCUGAUCCUACAUGGAAAAAUAUCUAAUGAACCAGAGAAUUUCAAAUUUGAAGACUUUCCUUCAGAUGUUUUAUCUGGUCCUGAAAAAAUUAGAAGAAUGGUUGAAAUUCUGAGGUCUGAUGUGGUGCAAGGGCUGGGAGUGAAACUUCUAGAGAAAGUUUAUGACAUCAUGGAGGAAGAUGAUGAAUUAGAGAGAGAGUUGCACUUACGGGAGCAUAUGGGAGAGAGCUACACAAAUUACAGUGCAAAAGCUCGCCAUCUGAAGUUUCUUGAAGAACAUGUGAAGUUUUGACCAGGUGACUUUACUGAACCUUUUUUCCCUUAGAGCUGUUACAGAAAAAUAACAAGGACCUAGUUUUAGAGGUGGUUUGGUGUAUUGGCCAUAUGCCAUAUUCUGUAUAAACAAAUUUUAUGGUACUUGUAUUUACCCAUGGAUUUCUAGGUUAUGAGGUAAACUGGUCUUGACAGAGUGAAAUGCUUAUUUGCUUGUGCAGAGUAGCACAGCUUUGUUAUAGCAUUAGUACUAGUAAUAUUUUUAUAUUAAAAUGUGAAACAGACAUUACUUUAUCUGAAGAAGAGAUUUUAUAUUUUGGAUUUUUACUUGACAUUACUUGCCUUUUGAUCUCAGACAUACUUGGAGUGUUUUAUGGGUAUGGAUUAGUUUCUAGAAAGUACUAAAUUGUGUAUGUAAAUUGAUAUAACCAGAUAAUUUAGAUCUAAUUUUCUUUAUCAGUAAAAGGUUGCAGUCAUAUCACAUUUCUUACUAAGCCAGCUGAUUUGGUAAGGCUAUAAUGUGGGAUCAUUAGAAUUAUAAUUUACUGAAGUUAAGAUCUGAAGCUCAAUUUUGGCAUGAGCUAAUUGUAAUUUCUGUAGCUGCAAAAACUCAGUGCAGUUUCUUCAAAUGGCUUAAAGUUCAAAUAAGAUAUAGUAAAAAGAUGAAUAAACUUCCUACCCUGAGUCCUUGGGCACCUUUAGAGCUCAUUUUCAAGGUUUAGGUAAGAAUGUUAUUUUCUCCAACUCAAACACAUUCAAAUACGAAUUCCUUUUAAGACUGGAAUGAGGAUUAAAAAGACUAGGUACAUUCAGAUUAAAUGGUACAUUAAAUUAGUGUAUUUAUCUGUCAACUUGUCUAAGUUUUUAGUAUGCUUUUGUUAUAUUUUAACAUUUGAUGCCUGGACGUGUUUUGCAGCAUCAGUGUUCUGAAGGUUUUUACAUAUUAGAUUUUUUAAAAAAGCAUAAUUGUCAUCAAGGAUAUUUGAAUUUUGUAAAAUAAAAAAAAUAAAGUCUGCAAGAUGUCAA
Non-coding RNA from Pelodiscus sinensis (Chinese soft-shelled turtle), 3750 nucleotides. Lineage: Eukaryota; Metazoa; Chordata; Testudines; Trionychidae. The record is from RefSeq and is a predicted model, not a curated record.